Molecule: ribosomal RNA, 490 nt
Filed under: uncultured bacterium
Lineage: Bacteria
Description: partial 16S ribosomal RNA
Rfam family: Bacterial small subunit ribosomal RNA
Source: RNAcentral
AUUGAACGCUGGCGGCAGGCCUAACACAUGCAAGUCGAACGGUAACAGGAAGAAGCUUGCUUCUUUGCUGACGAGUGGCGGACGGGUGAGUAAUGUCUGGGAAACUGCCUGAUGGAGGGGGAUAACUACUGGAAACGGUAGCUAAUACCGCAUAACGUCGCAAGACCAAAGAGGGGGACCAUCGGGCCUCUUGCCAUCGGAUGUGCCCAGAUGGGAUUAGCUAGUAGGUGGGGUAACGGCUCACCUAGGCGACGAUCCCUAGCUGGUCUGAGAGGAUGACCAGCCACACUGGAACUGAGACACGGUCCAGACUCCUACGGGAGGCAGCAGUGGGGAAUAUUGCACAAUGGGCGCAAGCCUGAUGCAGCCAUGCCGCGUGUAUGAAGAAGGCCUUCGGGUUGUAAAGUACUUUCAGCGGGGAGGAAGGGAGUAAAGUUAAUACCUUUGCUCAUUGACGUUACCCGCAGAAGAAGCACCGGCUAACUCCGUG